This 445-nucleotide ribosomal RNA is filed under the name uncultured bacterium. Its description in RNAcentral is "bacterial SSU rRNA". It matches the Rfam family "Bacterial small subunit ribosomal RNA", at positions 335 to 796 of the family's 1533-position model. The record is from RNAcentral.
ACUCCUACGGGAGGCAGCAGUAGGGAAUAUUGCUCAAUGGGGGAAACCCUGAAGCAGCAACGCCGCGUGGAGGAUGACACUUUUCGGAGCGUAAACUCCUUUUCUUGGGAAAGAAUUAUGACGGUACCCAAGGAAUAAGCACCGGCUAACUCCGUGCCAGCAGCCGCGGUAAUACGGAGGGUGCAAGCGUUACUCGGAAUCACUGGGCGUAAAGGACGCGUAGGCGGAUUAUCAAGUCUCUUGUGAAAUCUAACGGCUUAACCGUUAAACUGCUUGGGAAACUGAUAAUCUAGAGUAAGGGAGAGGCAGAUGGAAUUCUUGGUGUAGGGGUAAAAUCCGUAGAGAUCAAGAAGAAUACCCAUUGCGAAAGCGAUCUGCUGGAACUUAACUGACGCUAAUGCGUGAAAGCGUGGGGAGCAAACAGGAUUAGAUACCCUUGUAGUCC